This 497-nucleotide ribosomal RNA is filed under the name uncultured bacterium. RNAcentral's name for it is "partial 16S ribosomal RNA". It matches the Rfam family "Bacterial small subunit ribosomal RNA", at positions 28 to 507 of the family's 1533-position model. The record is from RNAcentral.
GACGAACGCUGGCGGCGUGCCUAAUACAUGCAAGUUGAGCGCUGAAGGUUGGUACUUGUACCAACUGGAUGAGCAGCGAACGGGUGAGUAACGCGUGGGGAAUCUGCCUUUGAGCGGGGGACAACAUUUGGAAACGAAUGCUAAUACCGCAUAAAAACUUUAAACACAAGUUUUAAGUUUGAAAGAUGCAAUUGCAUCACUCAAAGAUGAUCCCGCGUUGUAUUAGCUAGUUGGUGAGGUAAAGGCUCACCAAGGCGAUGAUACAUAGCCGACCUGAGAGGGUGGUCGGCCACAUUGGGACUGGGACACGGCCCAAACUCCUACGGGAGGCAGCCGUAGGGAAUCUUCGGCAAUGGACGAAAGUCUGACCGAGCAACGCCGCGUGAGUGAAGAAGGUUGUCGGAUCGUAAAACUCUGUUGGUAGAGAAGAACGUUGGUGAGAGUGGAAAGCUCAUCAAGUGACGGUAACUACCCAGAAAGGGACGGCUAACUACGUG